This 1954-nucleotide ribosomal RNA is filed under the name Escherichia coli. Its description in RNAcentral is "bacterial LSU rRNA". It matches the Rfam family "Bacterial large subunit ribosomal RNA", at positions 993 to 2925 of the family's 2925-position model. The record is from RNAcentral. Lineage: Bacteria; Pseudomonadati; Pseudomonadota; Gammaproteobacteria; Enterobacterales; Enterobacteriaceae.
GGGUGCUAACGUCCGUCGUGAAGAGGGAAACAACCCAGACCGCCAGCUAAGGUCCCAAAGUCAUGGUUAAGUGGGAAACGAUGUGGGAAGGCCCAGACAGCCAGGAUGUUGGCUUAGAAGCAGCCAUCAUUUAAAGAAAGCGUAAUAGCUCACUGGUCGAGUCGGCCUGCGCGGAAGAUGUAACGGGGCUAAACCAUGCACCGAAGCUGCGGCAGCGACACUAUGUGUUGUUGGGUAGGGGAGCGUUCUGUAAGCCUGUGAAGGUGUGCUGUGAGGCAUGCUGGAGGUAUCAGAAGUGCGAAUGCUGACAUAAGUAACGAUAAAGCGGGUGAAAAGCCCGCUCGCCGGAAGACCAAGGGUUCCUGUCCAACGUUAAUCGGGGCAGGGUGAGUCGACCCCUAAGGCGAGGCCGAAAGGCGUAGUCGAUGGGAAACAGGUUAAUAUUCCUGUACUUGGUGUUACUGCGAAGGGGGGACGGAGAAGGCUAUGUUGGCCGGGCGACGGUUGUCCCGGUUUAAGCGUGUAGGCUGAUUUUCCAGGCAAAUCCGGAAAAUCAAGGCUGAGGCGUGAUGACGAGGCACUACGGUGCUGAAGCAACAAAUGCCCUGCUUCCAGGAAAAGCCUCUAAGCAUCAGGUAACAUCAAAUCGUACCCCAAACCGACACAGGUGGUCAGGUAGAGAAUACCAAGGCGCUUGAGAGAACUCGGGUGAAGGAACUAGGCAAAAUGGUGCCGUAACUUCGGGAGAAGGCACGCUGAUAUGUAGGUGAAGCGACUUGCUCGUGGAGCUGAAAUCAGUCGAAGAUACCAGCUGGCUGCAACUGUUUAUUAAAAACACAGCACUGUGCAAACACGAAAGUGGACGUAUACGGUGUGACGCCUGCCCGGUGCCGGAAGGUUAAUUGAUGGGGUUAGCGGUAACGCGAAGCUCUUGAUCGAAGCCCCGGUAAACGGCGGCCGUAACUAUAACGGUCCUAAGGUAGCGAAAUUCCUUGUCGGGUAAGUUCCGACCUGCACGAAUGGCGUAAUGAUGGCCAGGCUGUCUCCACCCGAGACUCAGUGAAAUUGAACUCGCUGUGAAGAUGCAGUGUACCCGCGGCAAGACGGAAAGACCCCGUGAACCUUUACUAUAGCUUGACACUGAACAUUGAGCCUUGAUGUGUAGGAUAGGUGGGAGGCUUUGAAGUGUGGACGCCAGUCUGCAUGGAGCCGACCUUGAAAUACCACCCUUUAAUGUUUGAUGUUCUAACGUUGGCCCGUUAUCCGGGUUGCGGACAGUGUCUGGUGGGUAGUUUGACUGGGGCGGUCUCCUCCUAAAGAGUAACGGAGGAGCACGAAGGUUGGCUAAUCCUGGUCGGACAUCAGGAGGUUAGUGCAAUGGCAUAAGCCAGCUUGACUGCGAGCGUGACGGCGCGAGCAGGUGCGAAAGCAGGUCAUAGUGAUCCGGUGGUUCUGAAUGGAAGGGCCAUCGCUCAACGGAUAAAAGGUACUCCGGGGAUAACAGGCUGAUACCGCCCAAGAGUUCAUAUCGACGGCGGUGUUUGGCACCUCGAUGUCGGCUCAUCACAUCCUGGGGCUGAAGUAGGUCCCAAGGGUAUGGCUGUUCGCCAUUUAAAGUGGUACGCGAGCUGGGUUUAGAACGUCGUGAGACAGUUCGGUCCCUAUCUGCCGUGGGCGCUGGAGAACUGAGGGGGGCUGCUCCUAGUACGAGAGGACCGGAGUGGACGCAUCACUGGUGUUCGGGUUGUCAUGCCAAUGGCACUGCCCGGUAGCUAAAUGCGGAAGAGAUAAGUGCUGAAAGCAUCUAAGCACGAAACUUGCCCCGAGAUGAGUUCUCCCUGACUCCUUGAGAGUCCUGAAGGAACGUUGAAGACGACGACGUUGAUAGGCCGGGUGUGUAAGCGCAGCGAUGCGUUGAGCUAACCGGUACUAAUGAACCGUGAGGCUUAACCUU